This is an RNA transcript of Helianthus annuus (common sunflower), 3546 nucleotides long. It is a transcript of the gene named ATP-dependent DNA helicase Q-like 5, with no coding region annotated. The record is from RefSeq and is a predicted model, not a curated record. Lineage: Eukaryota; Viridiplantae; Streptophyta; Magnoliopsida; Asterales; Asteraceae. The transcript is spliced from 21 exons.
UGUUGGCUUUCAUUUCUUCCGCCGCAGUUCGCCGAUGGACAACUCCGAUUCAGACUCCGACGGAUCUCACAUCUCCUCCACGCCUCCUCGUCAACCGCCACCACCGCAGCCACGGCCUCCGCAACCGCUGGCGGCGGCGGCGGCGGCUCGUACUCUUCUAUUUUCAAAUAAGCUACGAAAAAGCCCUAAAUCGAAAGCCAAACCUAGUUCUUCCAGGCCGAUUCUGAAGAUUAAGCCGUCCACCAAGAGACCUAAACCACCGCCUGAACCUCAAAUCGACCAAUCUGUCCCGUGUGAAACCCCUGAUGUUACUCUACCUUCUCAAAUCUCCGGUUGUGAUUCGUUUGAUGCCACUACUACAAGUAGUUCUGAUGUUAACCUACCGUUUCAGAUCCGCCGCACCUCCGGUUGUAGUUCGUUUGACACUUUUUGUCCUACUGAGAUUCUUCCGGCUGGUGGCUCGUGCUUAUCCAGAUUCUCGUCCUUUUCUAAGAUCCGUAUGUCUUCCUUGAACUUCAAACCGACUGAAAAGGAAAUCGAUGAUCAUGUUAAUGUCAAUCAUUUGGAAAGAGUUACUAAGAAGCAUCCGAAUUUGAUUGGUUCUAAUUUGGAACAACAGAAUAUGCCUGAUUCUGAUAGUGUAAAUGUAAAUGAAACCCUAAGUUGUAGAGAUUCGGGGAAAGUUGCGAAGAAACACCCGAACCUAAUUGGAAGUUGUGUUUAUGUUACUGAGCAGGUGAGCAAACCUAAACCGGUAAAUGAAGGUAACUUUGUGAGAUUGAACAUCAAUGGUCAUGGCGGUCGCAAAAAGUACGCAAACAAAGUUAGGAAAAGGAAUCCGAAUGCUUAUAUUGGAAAUCGGAAGUCGUAUAAGAGGAGCAAAAGAAAAUUGAAAAGUGUUGGUGAAGGUGAAGAAGAUGAAGAUAGGUUUUGUGAUGAAGGUUUGUCUAUGGAGGAAAAUGAGAAAACCGACACAAGGCUUGAUUCGGAGGUUAUUGAAAAGGCGGUGUUUGAUGUUCGGCAGGAUCCGUCUGAUGAUAAUUUAGUUAAGUUAUUGAAGCUAGUUUACGGAUACGAUUCUUUUAGAGAUGGGCAACUGGAAGCAAUCAAGUUAAUACUUUCCGGGAAAUCAAGUAUGGUGAUUUUGCCUACGGGAGCUGGGAAAUCGCUUUGCUAUCAAUUGCCUGCUAUGAUUUUGGAGGGAAUGUCACUUGUCAUAAGUCCGCUCGUGGCGCUUAUGUAUGAUCAACUUAGACAGCUGCCACCUGUGAUUCCAGGAGGUUUGUUAUGUAGCAGUCAGACACUAGAAGAGAGUUCUGAAACAAUUAGGCGGGCUCAAGAAGGGGCCUUGAAGGUCCUUUUUGUUUCUCCAGAGAGAUUACUAAAUACAGAAUUUACAUCGAUAUUUUCUGCAAAUUCACUCAUAUCACUUGUUGUGAUUGAUGAAGCUCACUGUAUUUCUGAAUGGUCUCAUAAUUUUCGCCCUUCAUAUAUGAGACUUCGGGCAUCCUUGCUUCGUUCUAGUCUUGGAGUAGGUUGCAUUCUUGCAAUGACAGCAACUGCAACAACCAAGACUAUGCAUGAUGUGAUGCGUUCUCUUGAGAUUCCUCCUACUAACCUCGUUCAAGCAGCACAAGUUAGGGAUAAUUUGCAGUUAUCUGUAUCUUUGAGUGGAAAUAGAAUGAAGGAUUUGAUGGCAUUGCUCAAAGCUUUGCCUUAUACAGAGGUUAAAAGCAUUAUAAUUUACUGCAAGUAUCAGUCGGAAACAGAUAUGAUCAGCAAGUUUCUAUGUGAUAGUAAUAUCCGAGCAAAGAGUUACCAUAGUGGGAUCCCUGCUAAAGAUCGAAGGCGUACACAAGAGUUGUUCUGUUCAAACAAGAUACGAGUGAUUGUUGCAACUGUUGCGUUCGGUAUGGGGCUUGAUAAAAGCGACGUUGGAGCUGUAAUUCACUACAGUUUACCUGAAAGUUUGGAAGAGUAUGUUCAGGAAAUUGGACGUGCUGGGCGUGAUGGGCGAGUAUCUUAUUGCCAUUUAUUUUUUGAUGAAACUACAUACUUUAAGCUCAGAAGUCUUAUGUACAGUGAUGGGCAGGAUCAAUACACAGUAAAUAAGUUUCUCUCUCAAGUUUUCAGUGGAGAUUCACAUUCACAAGGAAGGAUUUGCACAAUAGUCAAAGAAUCUGCAUCCAGGAAAUUUGAUAUGAAAGAAGAGGUUAUUCUAACUAUCUUAACUCGUUUGGAGUUAGCUGAAGAGCAGUACUUGCGUAUACUUCCCCAAACAAGUGUAACAUGUGUGUUAAAUUUUCACAUGACCUCCCCAGCAUUACUUGCUGCUAAGGAUACUGUAAUUGAAACAAUUUUGAAAAAGUCUGAAAUAAAAGAUGGACAAUAUGUUUUUGAAAUACCAACUGUGGCUUGUAGCAUUGGAUUUCAAGUUUCUACUGUAACUCAUCAUUUGCAGAAUCUGAAGUUGAAGGGUGAAAUUACAUACGAGUUGAAGGAUCCAGCUUAUUGUUACAUGCUUGUAAAUUUCCCAAGAGAUAUAUGUUCUUUGGCUGCUGAUCUGGCUAAAUGGUUAUCGGAUGUUGAAAGUUGCAAGGUGCGCAAAGUAGAUGCGAUGUUUAAUGCUGCACUUUUUGCGGUGAAAACGUGUGAUAGAACAAAUGGCUGUACUGAUUCCCAACACACACCUUGCUUGCAAAAGGAGAUAUUGGAAUACUUUAACGCAGAUAAUGACAACAGUAUACCAAAUAAAAUGGUCCAAACCAGCCGGUUUUUGAGGGCAGAUAUCAAGGUGUUUCUUCAAAGCAACUCACACGCCAAGUUUACUCCCCGGGCAAUUGCUAGGAUAAUGCAUGGUAUAGCAAGUCCAGCUUUUCCUUCUUCAACUUGGUGUAAAACCCAUUUCUGGGGUAGGUAUAUACAAACAAACUUUGAUGUUAUCAUGGAAGCAGCAAAGGCAGAACUGAUGGCUUGUGCAGGGAAAUCUGCAGUUUAACUAACUGGUUUCCUCACUGGUUUUUAUUUGACAGGCAAGCUAGAAUUCAAGUACUAGAGUUUCUUCAGAUUGUUGCUCCAUGAGUCCCCUAAAUCACAUCUCUUAUGCAUGCUGCCAAAUGUCAGAUGAAGAUCGGACAUAAUGUAUAACUCAAUUUGUAAAGAUGUGAACAUUAAGUUACAAAAAUGAAAAAAACUAAAACAGGAAACAUGGCAGGCUUUAUAUCUUGCUUCAACACCAUUUGAGCAAUAUCGGUUAGAGGAACUUUUGUAACUUAUAAACAAAACUAUGAGGCUAAGGGGUAUGGGGGCAUGGGAUGGGUCAUGGAUUGCCAUCUAGGAUGGUGGGUGAUGUGCUACACCACCCCCUUAGGGAACCACCAUGGUUAGCAUGGAUUAAACCAUAUAGGGUGGUGGAUUUGAGUGGUGGAUGAGAGUGGGAUGAUAAGGCGUUGACGUGAAGGGUCAUGUUGUUAAUACUAUUUGCAUCUGCAUUUUAUUAUUUACUUAGUUAUGGGCUAAUGUCAUCGUACUUGGUUCAUUUCACCA